UACGUAGGGGGCAAGCGUUGUCCGGAAUUAUUGGGCGUAAAGCGCGUGUAGGCGGUCCGCUAAGUCGGCUGUGAAAGUCCAGGGCUCAACCCUGGGAUGCCGGUGGAUACUGUCGGGCUCGAGUCCGGAAGAGGCGAGUGGAAUUCCUGGUGUAGCGGUGAAAUGCGCAGAUAUCAGGAGGAACACCAAUGGCGAAGGCAGCUCGCUGGGACGUGACUGACGCUGAGACGCGAAAGCGUGGGGAGCAAACAGG
Molecule: ribosomal RNA, 253 nt
Filed under: uncultured bacterium
Lineage: Bacteria
Description: partial 16S ribosomal RNA
Rfam family: Bacterial small subunit ribosomal RNA
Source: RNAcentral